Bos taurus (domestic cattle) is the source of this 1238-nucleotide long non-coding RNA. The record is from Ensembl. NCBI's taxonomy places the organism in Eukaryota, Metazoa, Chordata, Mammalia, Artiodactyla, Bovidae.
GGUAUACGCUGUUAACAGGGACAAUUACUUAAAGGGAAGCGUUUAUAAAAUGGAAAACAAAUGCCGGGCCCAACUAAUGGAUUCCUGGCGCUCUGAGGACCCACUCCCGGGAGCGACUUUGAUGUAUUGCUGUCCAAUUAGUGCCUUUAAUUGGUGUCCUUAGGGACAAGCUGGCCCGGAGCUGGGACACAGCCUCCUCUCGCCUCUCCUGCACACUGGAAAGUACUGGAGAAGACUCUUGUGAGUCCCUUGGACAGCAAGGAAAUGAAACAACUCAAUCCUAAAGGAAAUCAACCCUGAAUCUUCGUUGGAAGGACUGAUGCUGAAGCUGAAGCUCCAAUACUUUGGCCACCUGAUGUGAAGAGCUGACUCAUUGGAAAAAACCCUGAUGCUGGGAAAGAUUGAAGGCAGGAGGAGAAGGAGGUUACAGAGGAUGAGAUGGUUGAAUGGCAUCACCAAUUCAAUGGACAUGUGUCUGAGCAGACUCCAGGAGAUGGUAAAGGACAGGGAAACCUGGCAUGCUGCAGUCCAUGGUGUUGCAAAGAGUCAGACAUGACUGAGCAACUGAAGAGCAACAUAGGGUAGAGAGAUUGGAGCAUGCAGGGAAAAGGAAUCAGAAGUAGAGAUCUUUGAGAUGGUGGGAAAGUCAGUGAGGAUGAAUACCGCAGAAGCAGUUCCUUGAUGGAGAGUACUUUCAAGGGAGCAGAGAGAAGGUCCUGAGAUUUGACAGCCAAUGAAAGGUAAACAGUGGUUUCAGAAGUUAAAGUUCCACUCUUAACUAAUUUCUCCAAAAUAUCACUUUCUGAGUCCACCAUACAGGGAACUCAGCUGCUGGGUGGGGACUCUUUAAGCUUCUGACUGAUGGAUAUCUGGGCUCAAGAUGGCGAUGGGCAAACCCUAGGUUGAGGUUUUCCUUAAAAUCAGCAGUAACUGUGGCUCCUACAUUACUCUGCCUUCACUUGGAAAGUCCAGUGACCAGACUUGUGGUGCUAGGCUUCGAGGUUGAAUACCUAACCUUUAUUGAGUUCUUGGGCUUCCCUGGUGGCUUAGCCAGUAAAGAGUCCACCUGCAAUGAGGAAAGGUUGGGAAGAUCCCCUGGAGGAGGAUCCCUCUCCAACCCACUCCAGUAUUCUUGCCUGGAGAAUCCCCAAGGACAGAGGAGCCUGGUAGGCUAUAGUCCAUUGAGUACUUGGUCUCAUGCACUUACUGUUCUAUGCUUUCUAUGCAUUAUUUAAUUA